Molecule: ribosomal RNA, 253 nt
Filed under: uncultured bacterium
Lineage: Bacteria
Description: partial 16S ribosomal RNA
Rfam family: Bacterial small subunit ribosomal RNA
Source: RNAcentral
UACGGAGGGCGCGAGCGUUAUCCGGAAUCACUGGGUUUAAAGGGUGCGUAGGCGGCUCGGUAAGUCAGUUGUGAAAGCCCCUUGCUUAACGAGGGAGGUGCGAUUGAUACUGUCGAGCUUGAAUCGGGAUGAGGCAGGCGGAAUGUGGCAUGUAGCGGUGAAAUGCAUAGAUAUGCCAUAGAACACCGAUUGCGAAGGCAGCCUGCGGGGCCCGUAGUGACGCUGAGGCACGAAAGCGUGGGGAGCAAACAGG